RNAcentral lists this ribosomal RNA (497 nucleotides) under uncultured bacterium. RNAcentral describes it as "partial 16S ribosomal RNA". It matches the Rfam family "Bacterial small subunit ribosomal RNA", at positions 28 to 507 of the family's 1533-position model. The record is from RNAcentral.
GAUGAACGCUGGCGGCGUGCCUAAUACAUGCAAGUCGAGCGAACGGACGAGAAGCUUGCUUCUCUGAUGUUAGCGGCGGACGGGUGAGUAACACGUGGAUAACCUACCUAUAAGACUGGGAUAACUUCGGGAAACCGUAGCUAAUACCGGAUAAUAUUUUGAACCGCAUGGUUCAAAAGUGAAAGACGGUCUUGCUGUCACUUAUAGAUGGAUCCGCGCUGCAUUAGCUAGUUGGUAAGGUAACGGCUUACCAAGGCAACGAUGCAUAGCCGACCUGAGAGGGUGAGCAGCCACACUGGAACUGAGACACGGUCCAGACUCCUACGGGAGGCAGCAGUAGGGAAUCUUCCGCAAUGGGCGAAAGCCUGACGGAGCAACGCCGCGUGAGUGAUGAAGGUAUUCGGAUCGUAAAACUCUGUUAUUAGGGAAGAACAUAUGUGUAAGUAACUGUGCACAUCUUGACGGUACCUAAUCAGAAAGCCACGGCUAACUACGUG